AGAGUUUGAUCCUGGCUCAGGAUGAACGCUGGCGGCGUGCCAUAUACAUGCAAGUCGAACGCUUUGUCUUUAAUUGAUCUGAAGAGCUUGCUCUGAUUUGAUUUUAUCUGACAAAGAGUGGCGCACGGGUGAGUAACACGUGGGUAACCUACCUCUUAGCAGGGGAUAACAUUUGGAAACAAGUGCUAAUACCGUAUAAUACCAACAACCGCAUGGUUGUUGGUUGAAAGAUGGUUCUGCUAUCACUAAGAGAUGGACCCGCGGUGCAUUAGCUAGUUGGUAAGGUAACGGCUUACCAAGGCAAUGAUGCAUAGCCGAGUUGAGAGACUGAUCGGCCACAAUGGGACUGAGACACGGCCCAUACUCCUACGGGAGGCAGCAGUAGGGAAUCUUCCACAAUGGGCGCAAGCCUGAUGGAGCAACGCCGCGUGUGUGAUGAAGGGUUUCGGCUCGUAAAACACUGUUAUAAGAGAAGAACGGCACUGAGGGUAACUGUUCAGUGUGUGACGGUAUCUUACCAGAAAGGAACGGCUAAAUACGUGCCAGCAGCCGCGGUAAUACGUAUGUUCCAAGCGUUAUCCGGAUUUAUUGGGCGUAAAGCGAGCGCAGACGGUUAUUUAAGUCUGAAGUGAAAGCCCUCAGCUCAACUGAGGAAUGGCUUUGGAAACUGGAUGACUUGAGUGCAGUAGAGGAAAGUGGAACUCCAUGUGUAGCGGUGAAAUGCGUAGAUAUAUGGAAGAACACCAGUGGCGAAGGCGGCUUUCUGGACUGUAACUGACGUUGAGGCUCGAAAGUGUGGGUAGCAAACAGGAUUAGAUACCCUGGUAGUCCACACCGUAAACGAUGAGUGCUAGAUGUUCGAGGGUUUCCGCCCUUGAGUGUCGCAGCU
RNAcentral lists this ribosomal RNA (889 nucleotides) under uncultured bacterium. RNAcentral describes it as "bacterial SSU rRNA". It matches the Rfam family "Bacterial small subunit ribosomal RNA", at positions 8 to 853 of the family's 1533-position model. The record is from RNAcentral.